Non-coding RNA from Oryza sativa Japonica Group (Japanese rice), 3234 nucleotides. Lineage: Eukaryota; Viridiplantae; Streptophyta; Magnoliopsida; Poales; Poaceae. The record is from RefSeq and is a predicted model, not a curated record.
UGGGAGUGGAGCCAGAGCUUCGCUAGACCGUAAUUCCGCUGUUGUUUUUCUUUUCUUUUAUGAUGAGGAGGAGGCUGCUGAGAUAGAGAAGCACUACAAGGAGACUAAGAGAAAGGUGAAGGCAGGGCAGCUAGAGGACCUAGAUGAUUGUUUCUUGCAAAGCCAGAGGUCAGAACCGACAAUGCAAGCUAGUGAUGAAGAAGGGAAUGGAACCCCAUAUGCAGACAAUGAUGAAGAGGAGUUAGUAGAGGAAAUUGGUAGUGAUGGGGAGGUGAGAAUGAAAAGUAGUCAACAUCCAAGGUACAAGAAGAAGGCAUGUGUUCCUACAUUUGAACCUGGGAUGAAGUUCAACUGCAAGAAGCAAUUGAAGAAAGCUAUCACAACAUAUGCUCUUGCUGAGAAGAAAGUCAUUAACUUUGUUAGGGAUGAUGCCAAGAGGGUUAGGGCAAAUUGUGAUUGGGGUAGCUAUUCCCCGGGUAUGUCUUCUUUCCAAGAAUUCAAGGUCAGACAGUUGGCAGAUAGUUAUAUUUGAGAACCUGCAUGCUUGUCCACCUAGGAGGGAUAACUAGAUGGUUACCUCUGUUAGGAUUGCUGAAAAGUAUGGUAACUUCAUAUCUGUCAAUCCUUCUUGGCCCCUGGCUGACAUGAAAGCAAUAGUCAAAGAAGAAAUAUUUGCAUAAGCUUCUGUUUUUUUUUGAACCAAAGACAGUGGGGGAGGCCCCCACGGUAUAUUAAUUUUCUAGAAAUAUGUACAAAGAAGGAAAAAGGCAAAAAAGGGAAGGAAAAAACAGUUAAAUUACAAUUGAUCUAUCCAUGAUUGAACUAGGGGCCUAUAACAUUCUUUGAGCCUAAUUAAAUGUAAGCUCAAAUCUAACUUCAAGUUCAUCAACCAGUUUUGCACUGAGAGUUGGAUGCCUUGGAAAAUAAGUCCAUUCCUCUCCUUCCAGAUAUUCCAUGAGGCAAUUAAGAAUAGCUCCAUAAAGCAAGGAUGCAAGACAGCCACUUUUUGAGCCUGGAUCCUUUGAUGAAAAUCCAAGUUAGGGUUCCAUGUCCAUCCCAGACGACUCCAACAAGCCAAACUAAAAGGACAAAGGAAGAACAGGUGAUCUCUAGUUUCUCUAGCAUUAGCUGAGCAAGAGAGGCAAAGGACUGAAGUAUUGGGUGGCGCAUAGUGUUUUCUAUCAAGGAGAUCCCUUGUAUUAACCCUAUCCAUGAAGAAGAGCCACCUAAAGACCUUUAUUUUCAUAUUGACUUUGGACUGCCAUAUCCAUUUGAUAGUAGGUGGGGGAGUCAGAGCUAGAAAACUGAGCUUGUAACAGAGCUGCGAAGUGAAUUUCCCUGAUCCCCAAAUGAAUGUACAUGAAUCAUCAACCUCCGUAAGGUAAGAGAUUGGAGAUUUUCUUGCAUGUCCAUAUAUUCAUCAAACGCUUGUUGCGAGAGGGGUAGGAAGAAUUGAUCUUGGGGGCCUCUGGCCAAGUGUUGUGCAAUAGAAUCAUUCCCGUGCUUUGCGAAGGAGUAUAAACGGGGAUAUUUGACGGAACGUAUAACUCCCUCCCAUAAAUCAUCCCAAAAAAGAAUAGCUAUCCCAGAGCCUAUAAUUUGUUUUGCAAUGCCUCUAAACAAUAUAUCAUACUGAAAGAUGUCCCUCCACCAAAACGAACCACAACUUCUCACAAUCUGAGGAACUGUGUCCUUGUAAUAAGAGGACCAAAUAAGAUUUACCCAAGGUACAUGAGCUUUGCUGUAAAAUUUGUGCAAAUGUGUCAUAAGUAGGGCUCUAUUUUGGAUUCUCAAAUCAAUCUUUGCAUAAGCUUCUGUUUCAAAGCUGAAGAGAGUAAAGUGGCUUUUUAUGAAGAAACACUUAGAUGCUACUAGGGGGCAGUACCAAAAGUUGUUCAAUUAUCAACUUGAGCUUCUCAGAAGUAACCCUGGUAGCAUUGUGGUUGUGAACAGGGAAAUUGGCUUGAAUCCACAAGUUUUCAAGAGAAUUUAGAUCUACUUAGAUGCAUGCAAAAAAGGAUUCUCAGCUGGAUGCAGGAGAGUUAUUGGACUAGAUGACUGCUUUUUCAAGGGAGCAACCAAUGGAGAGCUUCUAUGUGCUACAGGGAGAAAUGCUAACAAUCAGAUGUAUCCUAUUGCAUGGGUAGUGGUUACCAAGGAGAACAAUGAGUAAUGGGAUUGGUUUAUGGAUUUGCUUUGCAGUGACCUAAAAAUUGACACUGGAGCUGGUUGGGUCUUCAUUUCAGACCAACAAGAGGGUAUCCUUAAUGCUGUGCAGAAAUGGGCACUUGAGGCUAAACACAGGAACUGCGCUAGGCACAUGCUAAUCGGAAGAGACACUUCCAUGACAAGCAAUUCCAAAAGAAGUUUUGGAAGUGUGCAAAUGCUCCUUGCGGGAUGUUAUUUAACCUUGCUAGGGCAAAACUUGUUCAGCUGAUUCAGGCUGGAGCACAACCCAUCCUCAACACACAUCCUAAGCAAAGCAUGGUUCAGGUUAGAUUCUAACUGUGACUUAGUGGACAACAACAUGUGUGAAUCUUUCAACAAAUGGAAACUAGAAUCUAAGUUUUAUCUAAUAAUCACAAUGCUUAAGAAAAUUAGGAGAAAAAUGAUGGUUAGGAUCAGUGAUCAGAAAACAAAUGGUGCUAGAUGGACAACUGUUGUAUGCCUAGGUAUUCUGAAAAAAACUUAAUGUAUACAUCAGUGAGUCAGCUUUCUGCCAUGCCAUUUGCAAUGGAGGUGAUCGUUUUGAGGUUAAGCACCAUGAACAUAGAUUUACAGUACACAUGGACAAGAAAGAAUGCUCCUAUAGUUACUGGUAGCCAUGCCCUAUGUAAUAUCAUGCAUCUUUUAUAGAACCAACGAGCUAGAUGACUACAUUGUACCUUGUUACUCUGUGGAAGCCUUCAGAAGUACAUAUGUUCUUGGCCCCAGGAUGAUAGAGAGCCACUCAAUACUCCUAGAUACAUAAAGAUGCCAGGCAUACCAAGGACUGGAAGGAGCAGAAAAAUGCAUAAACCACCCAAGCCAACAAAAAUGUCCAAGUUUGGGACAGUGACCAGAUGCACAAGGUGCAAGCAGGUUGGGCACCAAAAAUCUUGGUAUGCAAAGCAUAAUGUUGCCGGUGUAGGAUCAAGGAGGCCGACUAGAGAGGGGGUGAAUAGGCGGUUUUAAAACUUAAUGGCACUUAAACAAAACUAACAUAAGUUGCUAGGCAAGGUGAGGUGCAAGGUU